CUGGCCACCCCUUCCUCCAGAAAGCCUUCACUGACACCCCCAGCUUCUCAUCACCUCCAGGUCUGUGAUGUGUUGUAUAAAUUUUGGAAAAUCAUUGAGCCACAAAAUUGUAAAUUCAAGGAAGCUUCUAGUUUUAGUCAUCUGAAAGGCAGGGCUCCAGUUUCCCUGAGUUCCGGCAACGCUUCACUCUGGUGUUGACUUCAUUCUUGUGUGAGCUUUCUUCAGGAGGCAAGAAUAAUGCCAAGCCCGCAUCUUUACAGCCUGCUGUCCCAAGGAAUUAAAACAAUAACAGGAGAAUGGAAUAUCAGGACAGGGAAACAAGGAAAAACAUUAUCAUAGUGGUCCAGAACAAAGGGGAGCUGAUGAAGAAUUCUAGAACUGGAAGACAUAGUCAGACCCAAAUGCCUGUUUUUGAAAGACAGUGGAAAACGGAGAAGAGGGAAGCACCAGCAAGACAGAAAGGAGCACAACCAACCUCCCCCGAACGGGAGGCGCAGAGGAAGCAGGCGGCUGUGCUCCUUGAAAGCAGCCAUCCGUCCAACUCCAUUUCAAUAAUGUUUGCAAUUUUCCUCCUACUGGGUUGACUGGAGGCACAGCUGCCCCAUACGCGGGUCCAUGCGCCCAGCUUUUGCUAAAAAUGACCCUAACAAAUAAAAGGUGAAGCGA
Molecule: long non-coding RNA, 666 nt
Filed under: Equus caballus (horse)
Lineage: Eukaryota; Metazoa; Chordata; Mammalia; Perissodactyla; Equidae
Description: lncRNA (ENSECAG00000054470.1)
Source: RNAcentral